RNAcentral lists this ribosomal RNA (439 nucleotides) under uncultured bacterium. RNAcentral's name for it is "partial 16S ribosomal RNA". It matches the Rfam family "Bacterial small subunit ribosomal RNA", at positions 338 to 795 of the family's 1533-position model. The record is from RNAcentral.
CCUACGGGUGGCAGCAGUGGGGAAUAUUGCACAAUGGGGGAAACCCUGAUGCAGCAACGCCGCGUGAGUGAUGACGGCCUUCGGGUUGUAAAGCUCUGUCUUCAGGGACGAUAAUGACGGUACCUGAAGAAAAAGCAUCGGCUAACUCCGUGCCAGCAGCCGCGGUAAUACGGAGGAUGCGAGCGUUAUCCGGAUUUAUUGGGUUUAAAGGGUGCGUAGGCGGAAUGCCAAGUCAGCGGUAAAAUCGCGGGGCUCAACCUCGCUCCGCCGUUGAAACUGGCGUUCUUGAGUGGGCGAGAAGUAUGCGGAAUGCGUGGUGUAGCGGUGAAAUGCAUAGAUAUCACGCAGAACUCCGAUUGCGAAGGCAGCAUACCGGCGCCCAACUGACGCUGAAGCACGAAAGCGUGGGUAUCGAACAGGAUUAGAUACCCCUGUAGUC